UACGGAGGGCGCAAGCGUUGUUCGGAAUCAUUGGGCGUAAAGCGCGUGCAGGCGGCUUGGUAAGUCGGGUGUGAAAGCCCGGGGCUCAACCCCGGAACUGCACCCGAUACUGCCUCGCUAGAGUCUCGGAGAGGAUGGCGGAAUUUCCGGUGUAGAGGUGAAAUUCGUAGAUAUCGGAAGGAACACCAGCGGCGAAGGCGGCUAUCUGGACGGUGACUGACUCUCAGACGCGAAAGCGUGGUGAGCAAACAGG
RNAcentral lists this ribosomal RNA (253 nucleotides) under uncultured bacterium. RNAcentral's name for it is "partial 16S ribosomal RNA". It matches the Rfam family "Bacterial small subunit ribosomal RNA", at positions 524 to 776 of the family's 1533-position model. The record is from RNAcentral.